Molecule: long non-coding RNA, 1426 nt
Organism: Diospyros lotus (date-plum)
Lineage: Eukaryota; Viridiplantae; Streptophyta; Magnoliopsida; Ericales; Ebenaceae
Exons: 4
Source: RefSeq, a predicted model, not a curated record
AGGGGGAAAAUCUGUCUUGAGGCAGACCAGUCUGCACCUCAGUCUCAGACCGUUAAAGAGUGAGAAGAGGAGGGAGAUAGAGAGAUACAGAGACAGGGAAAUUGUUGCCAGUGAGAAGAUAGAAGGCUGCUCUGAUGGGAAGGGAAGAUCUUCUGCAGUUCCAAAGAAAGUGGGCAUUCUAGAGGGCAUGCAUGUCAUUUGUCUUGCAUUUGGACUUUUUGCACAUUCCAUGGUGGUGGUUGAUAGAACCAAUGUUCAUGACCAUCUUGAUCAGCAGGGAGUUGGUGGCAAAUGUAAAUGUUUAUGGGUUCUUUCUUUGGAGAAUUGUCAGGUUGAAUGGAAGGAAAAUAUUCAGUGGAUGUGUAAAUGAUUCGAGCUUUCAGGAUUCUGUUUUCAGAUGAGAAUAAUUUGGGGCAGUUUCUAAAACUCCUUCAUAAAUACAACUUGGUUUCUGACAAUAAAUAGGGGGAGAAUUGAAGUUGUUGGAAGUAGACAAACUGAUACUUAGCAAAAAUUAAAAAUUAAAAAAAAAAAGUUAUCUUUUUGGUGAAAUGUAGUUUGCUCAGACAACUUAAGAGGUACCUAGCUUUUAAUCAUAGGAGCAUGUGACAAGGAUUCUGGUGGCAUGAUAUGGUCGAUGGGCAUGAGUAUAUGAAAUUAGGGAAGCACAAAUGAUGAGGUUCGGCUUUCCAGAGUGGCAUAAACACGAGCAAAAUCUUUGUCCUUCAUGUAUUAAAGGAUUGUUUGUACACCGGUGGCAGCUUGUGUGUGUUUGUACAACUCUUUGCAUCAUCCGUCUGCUUGACUUGGAAUUACCAUUGGCAUGCCUCUAAGCUCCAAAAUAAGGUGUCUAGGAUUUAAGAUUUAGGGUUCCAGACCUGUCCAUUGGAGGCAAAGUUCCAGCAAUAGGCUUUACACAUGAGUUGAAACUUAAGGCAGUUCCCUUAAGGUUUACCAGCAAGAGGAGUGCGAUGCCAUUUGCCUCAACUAUUCCACAUGUAUUAGUUGGGACAUCUUUGCCGAGUGUGAACGUUUGAGUCUGUCUUGGAAUACUUUUCAUAGCUUGACUAAGCUGAGGGACCCUAUCCUCGUUUAGUUUAUCAGAUGUUGGGAGUGGCUUUCCUCUGCUGGGUCCAAUAGGCAUAUUUUCCUUGUCCACAUUAUAUGUCCUUUAAUUUAUAUGCUUGUGUGUUAGAUUCUUUUUGCUUGAUUUCUGUCAUCAUUCACACAGUUUGAAGUCUACGAGGGCAAAGCUUAUUAGGAAGGUACAUUGAUGUAGAGCAAUUCUACAACACUGUUAACACUUAAAUACUUAAGUCUCUUUUAAUAUAUUAAUGAUUGUACAUUGAUGUAUUGACGACGAACUCUAAUUAUGUACAUGGUCAACAAGAAAAGGCCAUCUUGCUUGAAGUAAGAAAACCGUCUC